Molecule: ribosomal RNA, 253 nt
Filed under: uncultured bacterium
Lineage: Bacteria
Description: partial 16S ribosomal RNA
Rfam family: Bacterial small subunit ribosomal RNA
Source: RNAcentral
UACGUAGGGGGCUAGCGUUGUCCGGAAUCAUUGGGCGUAAAGCGCGUGUAGGCGGCCCGGUAAGUCCGCUGUGAAAGUCGGGGGCUCAACCCUCGAAAGCCGGUGGAUACUGUCGGGCUCGAGUACGGAAGAGGCGAGUGGAAUUCCUGGUGUAGCGGUGAAAUGCGCAGAUAUCAGGAGGAACACCAAUUGCGAAGGCAGCUCGCUGGGACGUUACUGACGCUGAGACGCGAAAGCGUGGGGAGCAAACAGG